UACAGAGGGUGCAAGCGUUGUUCGGAAUUACUGGGCGUAAAGGGUUCGUAGGUGGCUUGCUAAGUCAGACGUGAAAUCCCUCAGCUUAACUGGGGAACUGCGUCUGAGACUGGCGAGCUUGAGUGCAGGAGAGGAACGCGGAAUUCCAGGUGUAGCGGUGAAAUGCGUAGAUAUCUGGAGGAACACCGGUGGCGAAGGCGGCGUUCUGGACUGCAACUGACACUGAGGAACGAAAGCCAGGGGAGCAAACGGG
Molecule: ribosomal RNA, 253 nt
Filed under: uncultured bacterium
Lineage: Bacteria
Description: partial 16S ribosomal RNA
Rfam family: Bacterial small subunit ribosomal RNA
Source: RNAcentral